GAUACAACAACAAAACAAAGUCAAUCAAACACAGUCAAUCAAAGGUUUCAAUUACCUACAUACAUCGCAUCAACCACCCAGCUCUUAUUUUUAGCUCGUAUACGCCCGUCUACACAACAACGUCAAAUCCAUCAUCCCCAGCAGCACGGAGUUCUUUUGACCAAUUUAUGAUUACCAGUUACAUAUACACUUCAACCUCAGCUUUCUAUUAUAAGCGCUUCCACCUGCUGCUGGAGAUAAUCAAACCCUUUUUGAUAAUAAUUUGGAAUAGAGAUGAGAUUAAUCAUUCAGCCCGUAUUUGACGUCUCUUCCAUGGAGAAAUAUUUGCAUAGAAUCAACAACUGGGACAAACCUUAUCAAGGCAGAAUAUCAAACUCGACUAUAUUAUUUAAUACUAGGGGAAUUUGUGGCGAGGGAGUAGCCGAAGUGUAGCACCAACUUUGCACAUAGUCGUGGAUAUGACCUGGUGUAAACCGCACUGGAGUAUCAGAUCAUCCAACCGGUGAGGCUUUCCUUGACUUGUCUCUGGCCUCGGGAUUCACUCCUUCCACUGUCAUGGACAGAACCACCAAAAUCCGUGUUUGCUAAACUUUCACUUAAGCUGAAACCACUUUCAUCGCAUCAUUGCUACCACCAGUGAUACCUUCACGUUGCCUUCUGCCUCCUGGCCAUGGAUCAUUGAGUGAGCAAACUUGCAAAACUUGCUUUAAAUAUGACGUAAGUUUAUUAAAUGUACUCGUAUCUACCCGUAUUUAGCUUCCCGCAGACGUACGAGUUGUAUUUAUAUGUAGAAAUUCGAAACAAUAGGCUAAGGUGACGGUAAAGAUAAAUUUCGAAUACAUUACUGUCCAGUCAACUUUAUUCAGUAAGUUUACAAAUGGGACAUUUAGCUCAAAAAUAGCUGACCAACUAAUCAGUAGCAAUCUACUAAUCCACCUUUAUUGAUAGUGAUGCAUGGCUUUGCCUACGAAUUUGCGGUGUCAGCUUCACCGUGCAAGUAAAGAAUAUCAGUAUUAUGAUCAUUUAUGAUAAAGCUAUUUCUGCUUCGUCGGUUUCACAUUACAGCCAAAGCUUGGUAUCAAAAUCAUAAGAAAUGCUGUCUCGGCAAUAUUUUGCGCCUACGAAUCCUGUUUACUUUUGUAACUAGAUCGCGAAAGGAAAACCUCGUAUGAGCAAUCAGAAAUUGCCUCUCGUAAAAAUAUGCUGUUUUGUAAUCAAUAACUCGACAGUAAUAUUCCACACCACACGACGUAUAAACAAACCAAAAGUGUUGUGGUCAUUCAUGCGGAUGUGAAACUAUUGUGUUGCCUACUGACUUGCUUUUAUUUUUAGGCACUGUAAAUUGAUAUUCCUCUACAGCCUCGCAAUUUCCCGUUAAUAUUUACCCAGUUCUUACAAAAGACUAAAGACGACACAAUUUCUGUAAUCCUUAUGUUUUUUUUCUUCUACACAUGAGCAAACAAACCUUUGCGGUCGUCAUCAGCAAGUGUUUUGCUAAAAGAUAUUACUUAUGUUGAUACUCGGGUUGAAUGAGUUUUUUAGGUUUGUCCACAUUAGGCCUUUAUCCAGACUGAUGACCCUGUUUAGACGGGUAGACGGCCCAGAAUUGAUGACAAAUUGAGAAAACAGCUACGCGACGUGGUGGAAGAGAAAGUGUAUUACGCUCUCACUCUGAUACCUAAGCCACUGCUCCUUAUUACACGUGUAUUAUUUAAGCAACAGUGCACACACGCUGGGUUGUGGGCAUUCAAACCAUGGUCAAAAAAUAUCCGGAGAAGAAGUUGGCUGGGUUCGUUUUUAGGAGAACGAGAGGACAAAACAUGCAUUGAACAAGUUUACAAUUACGCAGCAGACCUUUUAUCGAGUGAAAAGAAGGGAAAGAAAGGAGGAAGAAAGAGAACAAGAAAAAAUGGACAGUGUCGGUGUCAGAGUGAUGAAUAGGCAAAAUCAAGAUUCACACCAGGCGGAAAUUUCUGAGGAAGGAAGACCUUUCCUGCUUUCGUGGUGAAAACUUCCCUUCCCGUGCCUCUUAUUUGUCAGAUGAAGAAACUACAAGAUCACAUCCUAUGGAGGAAAUGAUUUCGUGUCCAGCAAGAGCAAAGAACUGCGAGAUGUUCAUUCACGAUAAGAUGCCAUAUCAAGCCUCCAGACCGGGGUUUUUCCGUUUCAAGGAAGAUCUGGGGGUUAGGAUAGGACAAGGAAUUACCUAAAAAUAUGUGCACUGACUUUUUGGAUUGUAAUUAAUUUAUGGAUUUUAAAUGCAAUCAAGACUGGGAAAUAUGUACUUGAGCCGUAUUUACUAGUCACGAGAGAUUGUUGCCAGUUUUAUAAUAAAAUAUAAUUUUAAAUUCG
Folsomia candida is the source of this 2352-nucleotide long non-coding RNA. RefSeq lists it as uncharacterized. Lineage: Eukaryota; Metazoa; Arthropoda; Collembola; Entomobryomorpha; Isotomidae. The record is from RefSeq and is a predicted model, not a curated record. The transcript has 3 exons.